RNAcentral lists this long non-coding RNA (655 nucleotides) under Homo sapiens (human). RNAcentral describes it as "HSALNT0210783". Lineage: Eukaryota; Metazoa; Chordata; Mammalia; Primates; Hominidae. The record is from RNAcentral.
UCCAAUUAUGUUGUAAGGAAAGGGGAGUUGAGUCAAUGUCAUUUUAAAAUGACACUCUACAGCAGCUUGAGGAAAUACUUGAAUUUAUUGUCUCUGUUUUAAGUGGAAUUGGGAAAGAAAUUGAUUCCAGAGUCCAUACAGACAAAAGCUAAUAACUAUCAUUUAGGGACGCAUUUCAGGCUCAGUAUCCACAUUAUCUCUGAUCUUUAUGACAAUCUUACAUGGAUUUGUUAACUGACUGGGAUUAUUAACUGGCCUGUUUUAUGAAAGAAGAAGCUGAGGCUCUGAGAGAUUGAUCAGUAGAGACAAAGCCACCCUGCUAUCAAGGGCUGAACACAGGUUUCAGGCCCAACUCUGCCUGUUUCCAAAGCCCAUGCUCUUGUAGUGGUGAAUGGAGUUAGAACAACUAAGAAUGCCUUGAGAAUGAUCCUCUGUCCUUGGAUGCCCUAGAGAGCUAACAGCAGGGCAGACCUGCUGGUCCAAUCCGAAUUCACAACAUCCUGAAGAGAAGCCAGGUGUCAGCUGUCAGCCGCAUUCUUCUUGACCAAUCACUGCUAGAAUGUUACAAAGCCAGGCAUGCAAAUAACUUUCCCUUUACCUGGAGAUAGAAAAGAAUGCUGAAUCAGCUGGGCAUGGUGGUUCAUGCCUGUAAUCC